Molecule: non-coding RNA, 72 nt
Organism: Neofelis nebulosa (Clouded leopard)
Lineage: Eukaryota; Metazoa; Chordata; Mammalia; Carnivora; Felidae
Source: the annotation of a RefSeq genome assembly
GCCUGGGUGGCUCAGUCGGUUGAGCGUCUGACUUCGGCUCAGGCUUUGUGGGUUCAAGCCCCGCCUCAGGCU